UCGAGGAUUUUUCUCAAUGGGCGAAAGCCUGAAGGAGCGACGCCGCGUGGGGGAUGAAGGUCUUCGGAUUGUAAACCCCUGUCAUCUGGGAACAAUGUGAUCCACCUAACACGUGGAUUAUUGAUAGUACCGGAAGAGGAAGCCGUGGCUAACUCUGUGCCAGCAGCCGCGGUAAUACAGAGACGGCAAGCGUUGUUCGGAUUCAUUGGGCGUAAAGGGUGCGCAGGCGGCUCGUUAAGUCGGAUGUGAAAUCUCACAGCCUAACUGUGAUAGGUCAUUCGAAACUAGCGGGCUCGAGGACUGGAGAGGAGACUGGAAUAGUCGGUGUAGCGGUGAAAUGCGUAGAGAUCGACUAGAACACCGGUGGCGAAGGCGGGUCUCUGGACAGUUCCUGACGCUCAGGCACGAAAGCCAGGGGAGCAAACGGGAUUAGAUACCCCCGUAGUCC
This 448-nucleotide ribosomal RNA is filed under the name uncultured bacterium. RNAcentral's name for it is "bacterial SSU rRNA". It matches the Rfam family "Bacterial small subunit ribosomal RNA", at positions 355 to 796 of the family's 1533-position model. The record is from RNAcentral.